RNAcentral lists this long non-coding RNA (230 nucleotides) under Elaeis guineensis (African oil palm). Its description in RNAcentral is "long non-coding RNA (EGUI_LNC007707)". Lineage: Eukaryota; Viridiplantae; Streptophyta; Magnoliopsida; Arecales; Arecaceae. The record is from RNAcentral.
UCCUCCUCUGAUUCCAUUGUCUUUCUUUUUCUGUUCUGUUUUAUUUUCUUUUGAUUGUUUUCUCUUUCACUCUCUUCUUUCUCCUGUAAAUUUUUUGAUCUUGUAAUAGAUUUUCUGAUGGAAGGGCCUUCGCCUCCCUCCAUAUUCUUUCUAAAAGAAACGUAGAUAGGACACUAGUUCCAAGUCUGGGUAUCGGCCAUCAUGUCCUGUCCAUUUAGUAAAGUUGUAGA